AUUGAACGCUGGCGGCAUGCUUUACACAUGCAAGUCGAACGGGCUUGGGGGCUUGCUCCCAAGUUAGUGGCGAACGGGUGAGUAAUACAUCGGAACGUACCGUGUAGUGGGGGAUAACGUAGCGAAAGUUACGCUAAUACCGCAUACGACCUACGGAUGAAAGCAGGGGACCUUUCGGGCCUUGUGCUAUACGAGCGGCCGAUGUCUGAUUAGCUAGUUGGUGAGGUAAAGGCUCACCAAGGCGACGAUCAGUAGCGGGUCUGAGAGGAUGAUCCGCCACACUGGGACUGAGACACGGCCCAGACUCCUACGGGAGGCAGCAGUGGGGAAUUUUGGACAAUGGGCGAAAGCCUGAUCCAGCCAUGCCGCGUG
RNAcentral lists this ribosomal RNA (372 nucleotides) under uncultured bacterium. RNAcentral describes it as "bacterial SSU rRNA". It matches the Rfam family "Bacterial small subunit ribosomal RNA", at positions 30 to 403 of the family's 1533-position model. The record is from RNAcentral.